CAGCCGCCGCGGUAAUACGGAGGGUGCGAGCGUUGUUCGGAAUUACUGGGCGUAAAGCGCGUGUAGGCGGCUUGGUCAGUCAGAUGUGAAAGCCCCCGGCUUAACCGGGGAGGUGCAUCUGAAACUGCCUGGCUUGAGUACGGGAGAGGGAGGCGGAAUUCCCAGUGUAAAGGUGAAAUUCGUAGAUAUUGGGAGGAACACCGGUGGCGAAAGCGGCCUCCUGGACCGAUA
RNAcentral lists this ribosomal RNA (231 nucleotides) under uncultured bacterium. RNAcentral describes it as "partial 16S ribosomal RNA". It matches the Rfam family "Bacterial small subunit ribosomal RNA", at positions 509 to 739 of the family's 1533-position model. The record is from RNAcentral.